This 490-nucleotide ribosomal RNA is filed under the name uncultured bacterium. Its description in RNAcentral is "partial 16S ribosomal RNA". It matches the Rfam family "Bacterial small subunit ribosomal RNA", at positions 28 to 507 of the family's 1533-position model. The record is from RNAcentral.
GAUGAACGCUAGCUACAGGCUUAACACAUGCAAGUCGAGGGGCAGCAUGGUCUUAGCUUGCUAAGGCCGAUGGCGACCGGCGCACGGGUGAGUAACACGUAUCCAACCUGCCGUCUACUCUUGGACAGCCUUCUGAAAGGAAGAUUAAUACAAGAUGGCAUCAUGAGUCCGCAUGUUCACAUGAUUAAAGGUAUUCCGGUAGACGAUGGGGAUGCGUUCCAUUAGAUAGUAGGCGGGGUAACGGCCCACCUAGUCUUCGAUGGAUAGGGGUUCUGAGAGGAAGCUCCCCCACAUUGGAACUGAGGCCCGGUCCAAACUCCUACGGGAGGCAGCAGUGAGGAAUAUUGAUCAAUGGGCGCAGGCCUGAACCAGCCAAGUAGCGUGAAGGAUGACUGCCCUCUGGGUUGUAAACUUCUUUUAUAAAGGAAUAAAGUCGGGUAUGUAUACCCGUUUGCAUGUACUUUAUGAAUAAGGAUCGGCUAACUCCGUG